CCGUAGGUGAACCUGCGGAAGGAUCAUUAAA
RNAcentral lists this ribosomal RNA (31 nucleotides) under Clavispora sp. YS60. RNAcentral describes it as "partial 18S ribosomal RNA". The record is from RNAcentral. Lineage: Eukaryota; Fungi; Ascomycota; Pichiomycetes; Serinales; Metschnikowiaceae. RNAcentral also lists the same sequence under 1 other name.